This 473-nucleotide ribosomal RNA is filed under the name uncultured bacterium. Its description in RNAcentral is "bacterial SSU rRNA". It matches the Rfam family "Bacterial small subunit ribosomal RNA", at positions 27 to 507 of the family's 1533-position model. The record is from RNAcentral.
GGAUGAACGCUAGCGACAGGCCUAACACAUGCAAGUCGAGGGCAGCACGAAGUAAGCUUGCUUACUUGGUGGCGACCGGCGCACGGGUGCGUAACAGGUGUGCAAUCUGUCCAUAAUCGGGGAAUAGCCCAGCGAAAGUUGGAUUAAUGCUCCAUGUGAGUAAGAGAGGCAUCUCGUUUAUUUGAAACGCAAGGAUUAUGGGUGAGCACGCUUCUGAUUAGGGUAAGUUGGUGGGGGUUAAACGGGCCCACCAAGGCGACGAUCAGUAGCCGACCUGAGAGGGUGACCGGCCACAUUGGGACUGAGACACGGCCCAAACUCCUACGGGAGGCAGCAGUGGGGAAUAUUGCACAAUGGGGGAAACCCUGAUGCAGCGACGCCGCGUGAGUGAAGAAGUAAUUUCGGUAUGUAAAGCUCUAUCAGCAGGGAAGAAAAUGACGGUACCUGACUAAGAAGCCCCGGCUAACUACGUG